CGGAUAGGCAAUUAUUCCUGGAAUGGUUUUUUGUUUAAAUGUUUUUUCGCCUAAGGAUGGGUCUGCGGCCGAUUAGGUAGUUGGUUAGGUAACGGCUUACCAAGCCAUUGAUCGGUACGGGUUGUGAGAGCAAGAGCCCGGAGAUGGAACCUGAGACAAGGUUCCAGGCCCUACGGGGUGCAGCAGGCGCGAAACCUCCGCAAUGUGAGAAAUCGCGACGGGGGGAUCCCAAGUGCCAUUCUUAACGGGAUGGCUUUUCAUUAGUGUAAAGAGCUUUUGGAAUAAGGGCUGGGCAAGACCGGUGCCAGCCGCCGCGGUAACACCGGCAGCUCUAGUGGUAGCAGUUUUUAUUGGGCCUAAAGCGUCCGUAGCCGGUUUAAUAAGUCUCUGGUGAAAUCCUGUAGCUUAACUGUGGGAAUUGCUGGAGAUACUAUUAGACUUGAGACCGGGAGAGGUUAGAGGUACUCCCAGGGUAGAGGUGAAAUUCUGUAAUCCUGGGAGGACCGCCUGUUGCGAAGGCGUCUAACUGGAACGGUUCUGACGGUGAGGGACGAAAGUUAGGGGCGCGAACCGGAUUAGAUACCCGGGUAGUCCUAACCGUAAACGAUGCGGACUUGGUGUUGGGGUGGCUUUGAGCUGCUCCAGUGCCGAAGGGAAGCUGUUAAGUCCGCCGCCUGGGAAGUACGGUCGCAAGACUGAAACUUAA
Molecule: ribosomal RNA, 706 nt
Filed under: uncultured archaeon
Lineage: Archaea
Description: bacterial SSU rRNA
Rfam family: Archaeal small subunit ribosomal RNA
Source: RNAcentral